GGCAGCAGGCGCGCAAAUUACCCACUCCCGGCACGGGGAGGUAGUGUACGAAAAAUAACGAUACGGGACUCAUCCGAGGCCCCGUAAUCGGAAUGAGUACACUUUAAAUCCUUUAACGAGGAUCAAUUGGAGGGCAAGUCUGGUGCCAGCAGCCGCGGUAAAAUUCCAGCUCCAAUAGCGUAUAUUAAAGUUGUUGCGGUUAAAAAGCUCGUAGUUGAAUCUGUGUGCCACGCUGUCGGUUCACCGCUCGCGGUGCAACUGAUUGGCCAGUGGUACGUCCUACCGGUGGAUUUAGCUUGGCGCGCUCGGCGUCCCGCGAAAGCGGCGUUGUCGGCGUGUCCCGGCGGUCCAGCUUCAAUCCCAUGGCGGUUCUCUUCACCGAGUGUCGUUGUGGGCCGGUACGUUUACUUUGAACAAAUUAGAGUGCUCAAAGCAGGCCUUUGUUGCCUGAAUACUUCUUGCAUGGAAUAAUGGAAUAGGACCUCGGUUCUAUUUUGUUGGUUUUACGGAACCCCGAGGUAAUGAUUAAUAGGGACAGAUGGGGGCAUUAGNUAU
This 555-nucleotide ribosomal RNA is filed under the name Aphanomerus sp. M246. RNAcentral describes it as "bacterial SSU rRNA". It matches the Rfam family "Eukaryotic small subunit ribosomal RNA", at positions 424 to 897 of the family's 1831-position model. The record is from RNAcentral. Lineage: Eukaryota; Metazoa; Arthropoda; Insecta; Hymenoptera; Platygastridae.